UUUGCUUCUCAGCCUUUUGGCUAAGAUCAAGUGUAGUAUCUGUUCUUAUCAGUUUAAUGAGUCUUUGGUAGCUCAAAGAAUCUUAGGUGAAACACACUGCCUUCUGUACAACAGGUAUUUUCUUCCUUGCAUUCUCUUACACUGUUCACUUUCUACCAUAAAUACAGGACACUAU
Molecule: small nuclear RNA, 175 nt
Organism: Heterocephalus glaber (naked mole-rat)
Lineage: Eukaryota; Metazoa; Chordata; Mammalia; Rodentia; Bathyergidae
Gene: U2
Rfam family: U2 spliceosomal RNA
About the family: U2 is a small nuclear RNA (snRNA) component of the spliceosome (involved in pre-mRNA splicing).
Source: Ensembl